GACGAACGCUGGCGGCGUGCCUAAUACAUGCAAGUAGAACGCUGAAGGAGGAGCUUGCUUCUCUGGAUGAGUUGCGAACGGGUGAGUAACGCGUAGGUAACCUGCCUGGUAGCGGGGGAUAACUAUUGGAAACGAUAGCUAAUACCGCAUAAGAGUAGAUGUUGCAUGACAUUUGCUUAAAAGGUGCAAUUGCAUCACUACCAGAUGGCCCUGCGUUGUAUUAGCUAGUUGGUGGGGUAACGGCUCACCAAGGCGACGAUACAUAGCCGACCUGAGAGGGUGAUCGGCCACACUGGGACUGAGACACGGCCCAGACUCCUACGGGAGGCAGCAGUAGGGAAUCUUCGGCAAUGGACGGAAGUCUGACCGAGCAACGCCGCGUGAGUGAAGAAGGGUUUCGGAUCGUAAAGCUCUGUUGUAAGAGAAGAACGAGUGUGAGAGUGGAAAGUUCACACUGUGACGGUAUCUUACCAGAAAGGGACGGCUAACUACGUG
RNAcentral lists this ribosomal RNA (495 nucleotides) under uncultured bacterium. RNAcentral describes it as "partial 16S ribosomal RNA". It matches the Rfam family "Bacterial small subunit ribosomal RNA", at positions 28 to 507 of the family's 1533-position model. The record is from RNAcentral.